This 571-nucleotide ribosomal RNA is filed under the name uncultured bacterium. Its description in RNAcentral is "bacterial SSU rRNA". It matches the Rfam family "Bacterial small subunit ribosomal RNA", at positions 240 to 803 of the family's 1533-position model. The record is from RNAcentral.
AUUAGAUAGUUGGUGGUGUAACGGACCACCAAGGCAAAGACGGGUAGCUGGUCUGAGAGGAUGGUCAGCCACACUGGAACUGAGACACGGUCCAGACUCCUACGGGAGGCGGCAGUGGGGAAUCUUGCGCAAUGGGCGAAAGCCUGACGCAGCGACGCCGCGUGAGCGAUGAAGGCCCUCGGGUUGUAAAGCUCUGUGGAGAGGGACGAAUAAGCGUGAGCCAAUACCUCACGUGAUGACGGUACCUCUUUUAGCAAGCACCGGCUAACUCUGUGCCAGCAGCCGCGGUAAGACAGAGGGUGCAAACGUUGUUCGGAAUCACUGGGCGUAAAGCGCGUGUAGGCGGCAGGGCAAGUCGGAUGUGAAAGCCCACGGCUCAACCGUGGAAGUGCAUCCGAAACUGCUCAGCUAGAGUCCCGGAGAGGGAGGUGGAAUGCUUGGUGUAGAGGUGAAAUUCGUAGAUAUCAAGCAGAACACCUGUGGCGAAGGCGGCCUCCUGGACGGUGACUGACGCUGAGACGCGAAAGCGUGGGGAGCAAACAGGAUUAGAUACCCUGGUAGUCCACGCCGU